AGAGUUUGAUCCUGGCUCAGGAUGAACGCUGGCGGCGUGCCUAAUACAUGCAAGUCGGACGGUCCCCUUCGGGGGAUAGUGGCGAACGGGUGAGUAACGCGUGGGUGACCUGCCCCUGGGAGGGGGACAACAGCUCGAAAGGGCUGCUAAUACCCCAUGAGCUGGUGGUGGUUAGAGGGCCAGCAGCAAAGCCGCAAGGCGCCCGGGGAGGGGCCCGCGUCCCAUCAGCUAGUUGGCGGGGUAACGGCCCACCAAGGCGAUGACGGGUAGGGGACCUGAGAGGGUGGCCCCCCACAAUGGAACUGAAACACGGUCCAUACACCUACGGGUGGCAGCAGUAGGGAAUAUUGCAGAAUGGGCGCAAGCCUGAUGCAGCAACGCCGCGUGGGCGAUUGAAGGCCUUCGGGUUGUAAAGCCCUUUUGCGCGGGAAGAGGAAGGACGGUACCGCGCGAAUAAGCCUCGGCUAACUACGUGCCAGCAGCCGCGGUAAU
Molecule: ribosomal RNA, 492 nt
Filed under: uncultured bacterium
Lineage: Bacteria
Description: bacterial SSU rRNA
Rfam family: Bacterial small subunit ribosomal RNA
Source: RNAcentral